UAUUUGUUACUAAUAAACUAUCAUCAAAUAUUUUUAAAUAAAAAUGUGUGAAAAAGAAUAUCGCAAUUUUCUUAGAACGUGAAUUCUGAUUUCAGCUAUUGGACAUCAUAACAAAACAUGAAUCAUACACAACUAGUAACUAAUGGUAUGUUAGUGGCAAUGUCAUAUUUGAAGCACAACAUGACGUAAAUUAGUUUUUCAGACUCUUUAAAUUAUUUUUUUUGCUGUUUAACCAGUUUGGAUCUAAGUCCCGACAGUUAGCACGUUAGUCCGGUAACCGACGUCUAGCUACCCUAAAUAUUAGUCAAAAAGUAUUUCAAACCCGAAUCUAUUAAUAUGAUAAUCUAAUAUAGCUUUAAAUGCAUUCUUUUUAGGAUCGUCAGAAUCAACCGCUAGAUGCAUCAAAAAAGACGGGAAUUAUAAACCGCAAAUUUCAGCAUAUAUGCCAUAUAUAUAAGUCAGAUAUGUCGAUCAUAAUAAAAAAAAUAACUUUUUCAAUAUUAUAGAUGAUGAAAAUGUAAAAGUGUAGUACAAAAUUCAUAAAAAUAUCUAAUACCAAUUAAUUUGUAUAAAAUAUCUAAUAUCAAUUAAAAUUAUCUUAUGCGUUAUUAAGUUAUUGGCUCAAUAGAGAGUGAUGCACAUGUUGAAUUCCAGAAACUUACGUAUGGCUUCAUAAUUAAGAGUGGUUUAUAAGACCAAUAUAUUUGUUCAAACUGCAGUGAUUGCUAUGUAUGCUAAAUGCAUAUACUUUAAAACUGCAAGUACUAUGUUACAAGAUAUGGAAGUUGGUGAUGUGGUUUCUUGGAAUUCGAUGGUUGUUAAGUGUGCUAGAGAAGUAAAGCAGUGUAGAUCAAACAACCUCGUUCUUGAACCAUCCUAGUUAAAUCAACAAUCUUUUCUUUUUUUGUUAAUUUUAUUUUCCAACUUUUAUGUUAUAUCUAUAAAAUUUAGGAAUUUUAAUUUAAAAUCAACGGUUAAAUGAAACUAAUAUCAUCACAGUUUGGUAUAAUCCAUUGUUCUAAAAACGUGUUCUGCACGGCCGCGUACUCGCCGGAAAACCAUAAGUCAGCUGGUCACCACCGCGAUUUGAUACUAUUUGCUCAGUUAAUCACCAAAAUUUAUAAGUUCAUUGCUUUAUAGAUUUUAAAUUUGAUAUCACAUUCUAAGUUAUAGUUUUUUUGUAUUAUUUAGACCAAAACUUACAAAAUUAAUAUGAAAAAGACUGAAAUCGCAAAAAAUAAUAAUUACAAAACAGCUGCAGAUUUUGCAUGAAGAAGGUGGAAGACGAGGGCAAUUUUGUCAAUUACCAUUUCAUUUAACCUAAUUCUAAAAUUAUUGUCCAAAAUGUUCAACGUGACAGUCAAAUCCGUGUUGGGCAGGCUAAUUAAGCUCAACAAAGACCACUACACAAUGCAUCAAAGACAUGAUACUUAAACUUAUUUAAUAUAUAAUCAUAUAUUUAUUUAGAAACCCUAAAAUAACUCUUCGAUUAAUCUCCAUAAAUCUCUGAUUAAUUGAUUACGCGCUAGGUCCUAUCCGGCCGCACAUAUAACGUUUAGCGUAGCUUUGAACUGAGGGUAUAAUAUAUGUUAUUGGGUUGUAGAAUAUAAUAUUCUUAAUGGCAAUACUAGGAAUUUCUCUAGAAAAUAUAUUAUAUUUUGAAAUAUCGUGUGCUUGUCAGUCAGUAAGGGUAAGUUUUAUUAUUAUGACACCUUAGCUUGGUAAUAUGAUAGUAAGGUUGUGUAAUUAAAAUGAUUCUCACAUAAUAGAUAGAAAGUUUUGAUUCAAAUUCUAACUUGGUUUUUGAAUAAAUUCAUUUUCAAAUUAGAUGCUUUUCAUUUUAAAUGGAGAAUGGCUAAAAUUAUCACAGUAACUGACAUAAAAAUAUGUGUAUUGAAGGCAAAAAAUAUAAAAAUAAAGACAUUCUUUUUAGUCAAACUUCUAUUAAUUUAUAUAGUUUAACAAAUUGGUUAUUUCUAUCUAGAGCAUCCUAUUUAAACGAACAAUCGAAUCUUUUAUACUAUUAAACUUGGAAAUUAGAAUUUAAAUUCAACUGAUAAUGAAUACAUAUUGACUUACCUUACUAUAAAAUCUAUCAGUUUUAAUUAAUUUCAAGAUAUUUUUCCUAUUUGUUUUUCAUGAUUUGUUUGUAUGAAUCAUCUUCUUUAUUAUAAGUUUACUCUUGAUUUCUUUCUAUGUUUUUCAAAUAAGAAAUCUAAACAAUAAGAUUAUAGAGUUACAAAAUAUAUAACACUAAAAUCUAAAUCAUAUAUAUUUUAUGAUAUUUAGAAUAAUAUCAAAGUUAUAUAUUUAUAAAAAUAUAUAUAUCCGCAUGGAUGUGCGGGUUUAGACUCUAGUGUAUAAUUAAUUAACGGAGCAUUAAUAAUAGUUAUAUAAAACGAUAUGUGUACAUGAGAUAAUAUAAAUUAUAAAAAUGUAACUAUAAAUUUAAGAACUAUAUUAAUGCCCUCAAGUACGGACUGUGCACCUUAUUCUUAAACCAUCCUAGUUAAAUCAACAAUCUUUUCUUCUUUUUUUGGUUAAAAACACUAUCAAGUAUCAAUACUUUGAUAUUAUAUUUUUUUAAUUUAAAAAUUCUAUUUUAAUUUAAAAUCAGUUGUGAAUGACUAUAUUAACAUGCAUAUUUUCACAUUUAAUAAAUAAAAUUCUAACAAUAUCAGUUAUCAUUUAAAUUUUUCAUUAUUAAAACUUUAAUAUCUUUCCUGUUUUAUACUUCAAAGAAUUUUCAAAAUCUGUUUAAUGCAUGUUAUUAAUAAAAUACAAUUAAUUACUCCAUCUGUUUAAUAUUAGUGUCGUCUAAAAAAAUUACCUCAUUUAAUAUAUAUAUAUAUAUAUAUAUUUGAUUUUUUAAUUAAUAGAUUAAAAUAAAGAUAAAGCUGAAAUUUUUAUUUAAUAUAUAUUGAAAAUAUAAAACAACACGUAUAAUGAAAUAAAAUUUCAAAAUUAAAACAACACUUAAUAUAAAACGAAAAGAGUAUGUUUUAUUAAGUUCUUAUUUAUUUUAUUUUUAGUUAAUUCAAGAUAUUUUUCCUUACUAGGUUAUGACUUUUUUUUUGUUUCAUGUAUCUAAUUAAUUACAAGUUGACUCUAAUUAAUUAAAACCAAAAACGUUGAUUCUCCUUUUUCUACUUGUAAUAUUUGCGGUACUUUGUAUAUAUAUUUAUACAUCUUAUUUGUUAUGUCUAAGAUAUUUACGAAUACAAAGCAACUACAUCAGUUCUUUAUUUUUUUUCAUUCUUGUUGUAUCAUUUGAAAUGGCUAAGCCAACUAUUCUUGCUAUUUUCAUGAUUGUUCUUGUUUUAGGUUUGUUCUACACUUCAGUAUUUUUAUAUUUUCUCCUUUGCUUCGUAAUGUUUAUUUGUUUAUAACCUUUCUGAUUUAUAACAAAAUAAUGGAAAUGAUACUAAUAUAUAUAUUUAAAUACUUAUUUAGGAACGGUGACGAUGGAGUCACAAGGACAAGAAUUGUGUCAUGAAUAUUUUGUUGAAUCAGGAAUUUGUGAUCCUAAACAUUGUGCUGAUCGGUGUACUGACAAGUGGAAAGGAUCUGGCAAGUGUUUUAAUGGAACCAAAAUCUGCGGCUGCACUUUCAAAUGUAAAACUUAGUUUAUAUUUGUUAUUUAUGUUAUCAUAAAAUAUACUACUCUUUUAAUAAAAUGGACUGAAAAAUUAUAAUGCAAAUUUUAUGCAAAUGUGAGUUCUAAUUUCAGUUAUUUAACAUCAUAAUAUGAACUAUAGACUGCAAAUUUUAGCAUAUGUGCCAUAUUCAGAUGUGUCCAUCAUAAUCAAUACAAGCAAUAAAAUUGCAAUGUCACUAUGAAUAUAGAGAUUCAAUGUUAUACAAGUUUGGAUGAUCCAAUAGCACUGUCCUUGGGAAAAUUAUUUUGCCGCAGACUGUAUGCAUGGCACUAAUAAAAAUCUAAAUUACGAUGAUUUUUAUUACUAUGGAAGUUUCGGAUCUUAGAUCCAUAAUUUCUCAUAAGUCCGAAGUGAGCUUACUAAAUUUUUUGUUGGUUAAAAAAAGUGAGCUUUCUUAUUUAAAAAAUAAUCUUGCUAAUAUUAGUUUAGAUUAUCAAAAAACAACUCUUUACACAACCAUUAGACUACCAUUAGCGGUAUCAUCUUUUGAACAAGCCCUGAAGGGUUCAUCGAACCUCAUCUGCCUCUCCCCUACUGGUGUCUCUGUGAAUCAUUUUGCUUGGGUAUGCUGGUGCGUUUGGACAGCAAGAAACUCGUUGGUUUUUGAGAACCGGGAUCUCUCCCCAUCGGACAUAAUCGUUAAAGCCAUCGGCCAAGCUCGAGAAUGGCAGGACGCACAACCACAGAAAACUCAACUGCUAGCUCCACAUGACACAGUCGAGCCAAUUACCAGGACUUGAAUGAUGCAGUUACUUUGUUUACAGAUGCGGCUUGGCGAUUUGGGGAUAUAUAAGCUAGCAGGCUGUGGUUGGCACUACAUGGAUCCUUACACAUGUAUACAAGAACAAGGAUCAUCGACUGAAGCUCAUGGGCCGUCACCUCUAAUGGCGGAAGCUAUUGCUGUCCAGCAGUCCAGGAAACUCUCUUGCAUGCUAAAUCACGUCAACUCUCCAAAAUCUGCCUAAAAUCAGAUAAUCAAGUGCUCAUCAACGCAUUAAUCUCAAAUCAAAGUCCAGUAUACCUUUACAGAAUCAACUUGGAUAUCGAGAAUCUAACUUCUUCGUAUUGCUGAAUUUCUCUUAUGUUUUUAGGAGCCUCAAUUGCAUAGCUGAUUCAUUAGCUAAAUCUGCUAUGUAUGGUUUGAACUCUUCUAUGCCUCCUUAAGGCUUUCUCUUUCAAUGAAUUGAUAGUUCAAAAAAAAAGACUACCUCCUGGAUUACAAUGAUUUUGUAAUGAAACUUAUACUUGUUAAACAUACCUGGAACAUGUAUUAAUAAUUUCAACUAGUUUUUUCACUAAUACUAGAUAUUUUCCUGCACCAUGUACAUAAAUAAAAAAAUUUAAUUUAAAUGAUAUUUAAAAAUUGAAAUUGAAAUCGAUGUAAGUUACCACGUGGUUAAUGUAGUGUGAAAACAUUAAAUGACAAUAAUCAUCUUUUAAUAUAUAGGAGAUCUGUUGGUUUUAAUUAAUUUCAAAAUAUUUUUUCUAUUUGUUUUCCACGAUUUGUUUGCAUGAUUCAUCUUAUUUAUUAUAAGUUGACUCUCAAUUUAUUUUUAUUUUUUCAAUUUGUGGUACUUUUGAAAAAUAUCUACACAUCUAAUUUGUUAUAUAUAAGAUAUUCACGGAUGCAAUACAAUCUCAUCACUGUUUUUUACUUUAAAGUUUUCACUUUUUGUUGCAUCAUCAAAAAUGGCUAAAACCACAAUUCUUGCUAUUUUUAUGGUUGUUCUUGUUUUAGGGAUGGUGAUGGAGUCGCAAGAACAAGAAUCUUGUCGUGAUUAUAUAAGAGGAACAGAAAUUUGCCAAGCUAAACAAUGUGAUGAUCAGUGUACAUUCAAGUAUAAUGGAUAUGGCAAGUGCUUAGCAGGCACAGUGUGCCUCUGCACAUUUAUUUGUAAAACUUAAUUUUCAUUUGUUAUUAAUAAACUAUUAUCAAAUAAAUUAAAUAAAAACAUGAUAAAAAAUAAAUUGCAAUUUUCUUAGAAUGUGAAUUCUGAUUUCAGCUAGUGGACAUCAUAAUCUUUAAAAUAAAGUUGUAACUAUUUAACUAAUUUUGAUCUAAGUCCAACAAUUAAAAAAAUAUUCAAACACAAAUCGAGUAAUGUGGUAAUCUAAUAUAUCAUUAAGGGCAUUCUUUCUAAAAUUGUCGGAAUUAACCGUAAAUGGAUAAAAAAGGCAUGAACUAUAAACUGUAAAUUUCAGCAUAUAUGCCAUACAAGUCAGAUAUGUCGAUCGUAAUCAAAGCUAGAAUAAUUUUUCAAUAUUAUAGAUGGUGAUAAUUUGUAGUAAAGAGAAAUUGAUGAUGUGGAUUUCUUGGAACUCGAUGGUUGUUGAGUGUGUUAGAGAAGGUCUUAAAGAAGAAGCUCUAUCCUUGUUCGGAAGAAUGCAUAGGCGAGACAUGAAGAUAGAUGAUUUCACAAUCCCAUCCAUUUUAAACUGUUUCGCUUCGUCUAGAACAGAAACGAAUAUAGCUUCUUUUGUGCAUUGUCUGAUAGUGAAAACUAGAUAUGGAACUUACAAGCUGGUGAAUAACGCUCUUGUGGAUACGUAUGCUAAGGAGCUUUUGGUUUAGCUUACCAUAGUGAUAAACUAGCUGGUUAUUUACGGAUAUGAGUUUUGCACUCCAUGACUUGGAUAAGGAAGGCAAAGGAGCUUUUGGUUUAGCUUACCAUAGUGAGAAACUAGCUGUAGCGUUUGGUCUACUUGCUGAACCAUCUGGAGCUCCGAUUCGGAUCACCAAGAACCUCCGUGUCUGUGUCUGUGGGGAUUGCCACAAUGCAAUGAAGUAUAUAUCUAGAGUAUACCUCAGGCAUAUCAUCUUAACAAAUUCUAACUGUUUUCAUUUCUUUAGAGAUGUAAACUGUUAUUGUGGAGAGACUAUUAGUAAACAUUUUGCAUAUAAGAAGAAGAGAAAAAACUCGGAAAAUUCUGCAUUUUCUGUCUGCAACAAUGGAGUCUACAAAGUUACAAACUUAACAAAUCAUACACUUUUGGAACUGCUAGUGCAAGGUGGUUGCAGAGGUCAAUGAGGGUUCAUAACCAGAACAAUGCCAAAAAAAAAA
This is a long non-coding RNA of Brassica rapa (field mustard), 6721 nucleotides long. RefSeq lists it as uncharacterized. The record is from RefSeq and is a predicted model, not a curated record. NCBI's taxonomy places the organism in Eukaryota, Viridiplantae, Streptophyta, Magnoliopsida, Brassicales, Brassicaceae.